AUUGAACGCUGGCGGCAGGCCUAACACAUGCAAGUCGAGCGGAUGAAGGGAGCUUGCUCCUGGAUUCAGCGGCGGACGGGUGAGUAAUGCCUAGGAAUCUGCCUGGUAGUGGGGGAUAACGUCCGGAAACGGGCGCUAAUACCGCAUACGUCCUGAGGGAGAAAGUGGGGGAUCUUCGGACCUCACGCUAUCAGAUGAGCCUAGGUCGGAUUAGCUAGUGGGUGGGGUAAAGGCCUACCAAGGCGACGAUCCGUAACUGGUCUGAGAGGAUGAUCAGUCACACGGGAACUGAGACACGGUCCAGACUCCUACGGGAGGCGGCGGAGGGGAAUAUUGGACAAGGGGCGAAAGCCUGAUCCAGCCAGGCCGCGUGUGUGAGGAGGGUCUUCGGAUUGUAAAGCACUUUAAGUGGGGAGGAAGGGCAGUAAGUUAAUACCUUGCUAUUUUGACGGUACCAACAGAGAAAGCACCGGCUAACUACGUG
RNAcentral lists this ribosomal RNA (484 nucleotides) under uncultured bacterium. Its description in RNAcentral is "partial 16S ribosomal RNA". It matches the Rfam family "Bacterial small subunit ribosomal RNA", at positions 29 to 507 of the family's 1533-position model. The record is from RNAcentral.